This 1158-nucleotide ribosomal RNA is filed under the name Paraphidippus aurantius. Its description in RNAcentral is "SSU rRNA". It matches the Rfam family "Eukaryotic small subunit ribosomal RNA", at positions 624 to 1824 of the family's 1831-position model. The record is from RNAcentral. Lineage: Eukaryota; Metazoa; Arthropoda; Arachnida; Araneae; Salticidae.
AAAAGCUCGUAGUUGGAUCUCAGUUCCAGACGGGUGGUCCGCCUACCGGUGGUUACUGCCUGUUCUGAACAGCCAGCCGGUUUCUCUUGAUGAUCUUCACCGGUUGUCUUGGGUGACCGGCAAGUUUACUUUGAAAAAAUUAGAGUGCUCAAAGCAGGCGCGACGCCUGAAUAAUGGUGCAUGGAAUAAUGGAAUAGGACCUCKGUUCUAUUUUGUUGGUUUUMGGAACACGAGGUAAUGAUUAAGAGGGACAGACGGGGGCAUUCGUAUUGCGACGCUAGAGGUGAAAUUCUUGGACCGUCGCARGACGAACUACUGCGAAAGCAUUUGCCAAGAAUGUUUCCAUUAAUCAAGAACGAAAGUUAGAGGUUCGAAGGCGAUCAGAUACCGCCCUAGUUCUAACCAUAAACGAUGCCAGCCAGCGAUCCGGCUGUGUUCMUCAAAYGACACGCCGGGCAGCUUCCGGGAAACCAAAGCUUUUGGGUUCCGGGGGAAGUAUGGUUGCAAAGCUGAAACUUAAAGGAAUUGACGGAAGGGCACCACCAGGAAUGGAGCCUGCGGCUUAAUUUGACUCAACACGGGAAAACUCACCCGGCCCGGACACAGGAAGGAUUGACAGAUURAGAGCUCUUUCUUGAUUCUGUGGGUGGUGGUGCAUGGCCGUUCUUAGUUGGUGGAGCGAUUUGUCUGGUUAAUUCCGAUAACGAACGAGACUCUAGCCURCUAAAUAGACGYUCCGAUCACUCCAGUCGGGCGUUCUUCUUAGAGGGACAAGYGGCGUUUAGCCGCACGAGACAGAGCAAUAACAGGUCUGUGAUGCCCUUAGAUGUUCGGGGCCGCACGCGCGCUACAUUGAAGGAAUCAGCGUGUGCUUUCCCUGUCCGACAGGACUGGGUAACCCGAUGAACCUCCUUCGUGCUAGGGAUAGGAAAUUGUAAUUAUUUUCCUUGAACGAGGAAUUCCCAGUAAGCGCGAGUCAUUAGCUCGUGUUGAUUACGUCCCUGCCCUUUGUACACACCGCCCGUCGCUACUACCGAUUGAAUGAUUUAGUGAGGUCUUCGGACUGGCGCUCGCAGCGGCCUUCGGGUCGSGGCGGCGUGCCGGAAAGAUGACCGAACUUGAUCAUUUASAGGAAGUAAAAGUCGUAACAAGGUUUCC